UGGGGAAUUUUGGACAAUGGGCGAAAGCCUGAUCCAGCAAUGCCGCGUGUGUGAAGAAGGCCUUCGGGUUGUAAAGCACUUUUGUCCGGAAAGAAAUCCUUGGCUCUAAUACAGUCGGGGGAUGACGGUACCGGAAGAAUAAGCACCGGCUAACUACGUGCCAGCAGCCGCGGUAAUACGUAGGGUGCAAGCGUUAAUCGGAAUUACUGGGCGUAAAGCGUGCGCAGGCGGUUUGCUAAGACCGAUGUGAAAUCCCCGGGCUCAACCUGGGAACUGCAUUGGUGACUGGCAGGCUAGAGUAUGGCAGAGGGGGGUAGAAUUCCACGUGUAGCAGUGAAAUGCGUAGAGAUGUGGAGGAAUACCGAUGGCGAAGGCAGCCCCCUGGGCCAAUACUGACGCUCAUGCACGAAAGCGUGGGGGAGCAAACAGGAUUAGAUACCCUGGUAGUCCACGCCCUAAACGAUGUCAACUAGUUGUUGGGGAUUCAUUUCCUUAGUAACGUAGCUAACGCGUGAAGUUGACCGCCUGGGGAGUACGGUCGCAAGAUUAAAACUCAAAAUGAAUUGACGGGGUCAUAGCUGUUUCC
RNAcentral lists this ribosomal RNA (586 nucleotides) under uncultured bacterium. RNAcentral's name for it is "partial 16S ribosomal RNA". It matches the Rfam family "Bacterial small subunit ribosomal RNA", at positions 355 to 937 of the family's 1533-position model. The record is from RNAcentral.